Molecule: transfer RNA, 94 nt
Filed under: Thermoflexibacter ruber
Lineage: Bacteria; Pseudomonadati; Bacteroidota; Cytophagia; Cytophagales; Thermoflexibacteraceae
Description: tRNA_Ser_GCT
Rfam family: tRNA
About the family: Transfer RNA (tRNA) molecules are approximately 80 nucleotides in length. Their secondary structure includes four short double-helical elements and three loops (D, anti-codon, and T loops). Further hydrogen bonds mediate the characteristic L-shaped molecular structure. tRNAs have two regions of fundamental functional importance: the anti-codon, which is responsible for specific mRNA codon recognition, and the 3' end, to which the tRNAs corresponding amino acid is attached (by aminoacyl-tRNA synthetases). tRNAs cope with the degeneracy of the genetic code in two manners: having more than one tRNA (with a specific anti-codon) for a particular amino acid; and 'wobble' base-pairing, i.e. permitting non-standard base-pairing at the 3rd anti-codon position.
Source: RNAcentral
GGAGAGGUGCCUGAGAGGCCGAAAGGAGCGGUUUGCUAAACCGUCGUACGAGCUAAAACUUGUACCGCGGGUUCGAAUCCCGCCCUCUCCGCUA